UCUGUGACACAGCCGAGAGCAAAGACCGC
Molecule: non-coding RNA, 29 nt
Filed under: Homo sapiens (human)
Lineage: Eukaryota; Metazoa; Chordata; Mammalia; Primates; Hominidae
Source: RNAcentral